UGGGGAAUCUUGGACAAUGGGGGAAACCCUGAUCCAGCAACGCCGUGUGAGUGAUGAAGGUCUUCGGAUUGUAAAGCUCUGUUAGCCGGGAAAAAACUCGUGAGCAUCAGAUCCUCACGAUUGAUGGUACCGGCAGAGGAAGCACCGGCUAACUCUGUGCCAGCAGCCGCGGUAAUACAGAGGGUGCGAGCGUUAUUCGAAAUUAUUGGGCGUAAAGCGCAAGUAGGUGGUGAGAUAAGUCUUGUGUGAAAUACUCGGGCUCAACCCGAGAGGGUCAUAGGAAACUGUCUCGCUAGAGUGCAAUAGGGGAGAGCGGAAUUCCCAGUGUAGUAGUGAAAUACGUAGAUAUUGGGAGGAACACCGGUGGCGAAAGCGGCUCUCUGGAUUGUUACUGACACUCAGUUGCGAAAGCGUGGGGAUCAAACAGGAUUAGAUACCCAUGUAGUCCCUGAGCGGGCUGGCAAGGCGCAU
Molecule: ribosomal RNA, 471 nt
Filed under: uncultured bacterium
Lineage: Bacteria
Description: bacterial SSU rRNA
Rfam family: Bacterial small subunit ribosomal RNA
Source: RNAcentral